Molecule: ribosomal RNA, 1372 nt
Filed under: uncultured bacterium
Lineage: Bacteria
Description: bacterial SSU rRNA
Rfam family: Bacterial small subunit ribosomal RNA
Source: RNAcentral
GAUGAACGCUGGCGGCGUGCCUAAUACAUGCAAGUCGAGCGAACGGACGAGAAGCUUGCUUUUCUGAUGUUAGCGGCGGACGGGUGAGUAACACGUGGAUAACCUACCUAUAAGACUGGGAUAACUUCGGGAAACCGGAGCUAAUACCGGAUAAUAUUUUGAACCGCAUGGUUCAAAAGUGAAAGACGGUCUUGCUGUCACUUAUAGAUGGAUCCGCGCUGCAUUAGCUAGUUGGUAAGGUAACGGCUUACCAAGGCAACGAUGCAUAGCCGACCUGAGAGGGUGAUCGGCCACACUGGAACUGAGACACGGUCCAGACUCCUACGGGAGGCAGCAGUAGGGAAUCUUCCGCAAUGGGCGAAAGCCUGACGGAGCAACGCCGCGUGAGUGAUGAAGGUCUUCGGAUCGUAAAACUCUGUUAUUAGGGAAGAACAUAUGUGUAAGUAACUGUGCACAUCUUGACGGUACCUAAUCAGAAAGCCACGGAUAACUACGUGCCAGCAGCCGCGGUAAUACGUAGGUGGCAAGCGUUAUCCGGAAUUAUUGGGCGUAAAGCGCGCGUAGGCGGUUUUUUAAGUCUGAUGUGAAAGCCCACGGCUCAACCGUGGAGGGUCAUUGGAAACUGGAAAACUUGAGUGCAGAAGAGGAAAGUGGAAUUCCAUGUGUAGCGGUGAAAUGCGCAGAGAUGUGGAGGAACACCAGUGGCGAAGGCGACUUUCUGGUCUGUAACUGACGCUGAUGUGCGAAAGCGUGGGGAUCAAACAGGAUUAGAUACCCUGGUAGUCCACGCCGUAAACGAUGAGUGCUAAGUGUUAGGGGGUUUCCGCCCCUUAGUGCUGCAGCUAACGCAUUAAGCACUCCGCCUGGGGAGUACGACCGCAAGGUUGAAACUCAAAGGAAUUGACGGGGGCCCGCACAAGCGGUGGAGCAUGUGGUUUAAUUCGAAGCAACGCGAAGAACCUUACCAAAUCUUGACAUCCUUUGACAACUCUAGAGAUAGAGCCUUCCCCUUCGGGGGACAAAGUGACAGGUGGUGCAUGGUUGUCGUCAGCUCGUGUCGUGAGAUGUUGGGUUAAGUCCCGCAACGAGCGCAACCCUUAAGCUUAGUUGCCAUCAUUAAGUUGGGCACUCUAAGUUGACUGCCGGUGACAAACCGGAGGAAGGUGGGGAUGACGUCAAAUCAUCAUGCCCCUUAUGAUUUGGGCUACACACGUGCUACAAUGGACAAUACAAAGGGCAGCGAAACCGCGAGGUCAAGCAAAUCCCAUAAAGUUGUUCUCAGUUCGGAUUGUAGUCUGCAACUCGACUACAUGAAGCUGGAAUCGCUAGUAAUCGUAGAUCAGCAUGCUACGGUGAAUACGUUCCCGGGUCU